RNAcentral lists this long non-coding RNA (875 nucleotides) under Heterocephalus glaber (naked mole-rat). RNAcentral describes it as "lncRNA (ENSHGLG00000046058.1)". The record is from RNAcentral. Lineage: Eukaryota; Metazoa; Chordata; Mammalia; Rodentia; Bathyergidae.
UGAAGUUUCAAAUCAAACAACUUCUGGCUGUGAGAAAUUGUCAGUCCAGCAGGAAGAGCUUACAGAAGGGUCAUGACUAACUUUGAAUCCCUGUUCCUUGCUGAACAUUAUGUAUACAGGAUCUCCUCAGGCAUCUCUGGCUGGCCUCAAACUCGUUGUCCUCUUGCCUCAGGCUCCCGAUGGAGGGAGGCCUCACACCCAGCUCUAACACUGAACUGGUGGCAGUAAUUUAGGGGAAACCCACAGUGGCUGCAGUAGAGAAGAACCUGGAUCAGCCUCAUGCAUUUUAGCUCUGGGACCCCACUAACACCCCACAGGACUGGGAACCUUUACCCUCCCUGAGAGGAAUUUUAUUCUCUGGAAAAGGAUAUGAUGAGAAAGAAAGAAAUCGAUCUGCAUCAACAUUUCCUGUUGGGACUGAGAAGGCGAUAUUUGUGCCUGUAUUUUGGAAGUGAUGCACACCACCGGAUGAAAAAAAUUCCAAAGUAGAGUUGGAAAAGUUUUCCCAGCUGCAUGGAGAGGCUGUAAUAGAGGCAUGAAGAGAACACAGAAGGCCCAGCUGUAUCAUGGAUUUUGUUCUCUGCUGGAUCCAGGGAAGCUUCUCCUGCUCUCCCUGCCUCCUAUGUGCUCCAGGCUUAUGCCACCUCCAUCUUGUACCUGGGCAAUGAUUUUGAGUAUCUAAACAGGGUUAGUGAAUAAAUAGCAGAUAUACUGAUGCUCCCACUCCUCUACCCAUGGAAGACAUCACUAAUUGAUUUCAACUUAAUGCUCCAAGUACUCACCAAUAAAUAAUUGGAGACAGUCUGUUGACAUCCUAGUCAGUACUUUUCUUUUCUUCCCCCUAACUUCCUCCUAGAGUUUUCAAGCAAAGCAAG